RNAcentral lists this ribosomal RNA (482 nucleotides) under uncultured bacterium. Its description in RNAcentral is "partial 16S ribosomal RNA". It matches the Rfam family "Bacterial small subunit ribosomal RNA", at positions 30 to 507 of the family's 1533-position model. The record is from RNAcentral.
AUUGAACGCUGGCGGCAUGCCUUACACAUGCAAGUCGAACGGUAACAGGUCUUCGGAUGCUGACGAGUGGCGAACGGGUGAGUAAUACAUCGGAACGUGCCCGAUCGUGGGGGAUAACGAGGCGAAAGCUUUGCUAAUACCGCAUACGAUCUACGGAUGAAAGCGGGGGAUCUUCGGACCUCGCGCGGACGGAGCGGCCGAUGGCAGAUUAGGUAGUUGGUGGGAUAAAAGCUUACCAAGCCGACGAUCUGUAGCUGGUCUGAGAGGAUGAUCAGCCACACUGGGACUGAGACACGGCCCAGACUCCUACGGGAGGCAGCAGUGGGGAAUUUUGGACAAUGGGCGAAAGCCUGAUCCAGCCAUGCCGCGUGCAGGAUGAAGGUCUUCGGGUUGUAAACUGCUUUUGUACGGAACGAAAAGCCUCUUUCUAAUAAAGAGGGGUCAUGACGGUACCGUAAGAAUAAGCACCGGCUAACUACGUG